This 496-nucleotide ribosomal RNA is filed under the name uncultured bacterium. Its description in RNAcentral is "partial 16S ribosomal RNA". It matches the Rfam family "Bacterial small subunit ribosomal RNA", at positions 28 to 507 of the family's 1533-position model. The record is from RNAcentral.
GAUGAACGCUGGCGGCGUGCCUAAUACAUGCAAGUCGAGCGAACAGACGAGGAGCUUGCUCCUCUGACGUUAGCGGCGGACGGGUAGUAACACGUGGAUAACCUACCUAUAAGACUGGGAUAACUUCGGGAAACCGGAGCUAAUACCGGAGAAUAUAUUGAACCGCAUGGUUCAAUAGUGAAAGACGGUUUUGCUGGCACUUAUAGAUGGAUCCGCGCCGCAUUAGCUAGUUGGUAAGGUAACGGCUUACCAAGGCAACGAUGCGUAGCCGACCUGAGAGGGUGAUCGGCCACACUGGAACUGAGACACGGUCCAGACUCCUACGGGAGGCAGCAGUAGGGAAUCUUCCGCAAUGGGCGAAAGCUUGACGGAGCAACGCCGCGUGAGUGAUGAAGGUCUUCGGAUCGUAAAACUCUGUUAUUAGGGAAGAACAAAUGUGUAAGUAACUAUGCACGUCUUGACGGUACCUAAUCAGAAAGCCACGGCUAACUACGUG